This is a long non-coding RNA of Lycium barbarum (goji berry), 308 nucleotides long. RefSeq lists it as uncharacterized. The transcript is spliced from 3 exons. Lineage: Eukaryota; Viridiplantae; Streptophyta; Magnoliopsida; Solanales; Solanaceae. The record is from RefSeq and is a predicted model, not a curated record.
ACUUCUCAUUCUCAACUCAACCUACUGUGGCUGAAAUGAAGGGAGUUCACAACAAUAAUGAAGAGGAUGAUGAUGAUGUGGAUGAAACCCGUUUCCACAAUCCAGUUCAUGGCUUUUUCCAAUCGAUUGAUUCAAUGAAUCACCAAGUUUAUAAUAGAAAUAGUCAGCAGCAUGAAAGAUCUAAUGGACUACAACAAGAACUACAAGAUUGGGCCUGUAGUUGCGCCUCCUGGUUAUAUGAAACAUCAACAUGAAGUACGACAGCAGCAGAGUUUAUCAGUGGUUCGUCCUCAGCUCGCCAACCUGGG